ACUCCUACGGGAGGCAGCAGUGGGGAAUAUUGCACAAUGGGCGCAAGCCUGAUGCAGCCAUGCCGCGUGUAUGAAGAAGGCCUCGGUUGUAAAGUAACUUUCUAGCAGUGAGGAAGGCGGAGUCGUUAAUAGCGGCCUCGUUUGUACGUUAGCUGCAGAAGAAGCACCGGCUAACUCCGUGCCAGCAGCCGCGGUAAUACGGAGGGGUGCGAGCGUUAAUCGGAAUUACUGGGCGUAAAGCGCAUGCAGGUGGUUUGUUAAGUCAGAUGUGAAAGCCCGGGGGCUCAACCUCGGAAUUGCAUUUGAAACUGGCAGACUAGAGUACUGUAGAGGGGGUAGAAUUUCAGGUGUAGCGGUGAAAUGCGUAGAGAUCUGAAGGAUACCGGUGGCGAAGCGGCCCCCUGGACAGAUACUGACACUCAGAUGCGAAAGCGUGGGAGCAAACGAGGAUUAGAUACCCUGGUAGGAUAGCG
This 473-nucleotide ribosomal RNA is filed under the name uncultured bacterium. RNAcentral describes it as "bacterial SSU rRNA". It matches the Rfam family "Bacterial small subunit ribosomal RNA", at positions 335 to 799 of the family's 1533-position model. The record is from RNAcentral.